This is a non-coding RNA of Pelobates cultripes (western spadefoot toad), 246 nucleotides long. The record is from the annotation of a GenBank genome assembly. NCBI's taxonomy places the organism in Eukaryota, Metazoa, Chordata, Amphibia, Anura, Pelobatidae.
CGCCGUCUCACUCGUCCAAUCUCCCUCCCGCCAACUCACUAACUCGGUCUCCCGCCCACCGACUCACUCACUCACCUGGCCUCUGUAUCCUCAGGGGCUCUCUACCAUCUCUUGACUUUCCCUCUAUCAGUGCUGGGAUCUGCAAGUUACCCUCCAUCUCUCCCUCUCUCUCUUGGUUUGGAUUACAGCUCUGCCCUCCAUUCUUCUCCCUCUCUCCCCCUGGGAAUGGAGAGCAGAGCUGUAAUC